This is a long non-coding RNA of Leopardus geoffroyi (Geoffroy's cat), 826 nucleotides long. RefSeq lists it as uncharacterized. Lineage: Eukaryota; Metazoa; Chordata; Mammalia; Carnivora; Felidae. The record is from RefSeq and is a predicted model, not a curated record. The transcript has 4 exons.
GGAAGCAGUAGGUAAAAACUACUAUUGAGCAUGCUUAAUUUUUAUUCCUAUCAUAUGAAUCAGAUGUAAGGCUAUCAGUAGUUACUUUUCUACCCAAGUAUUUUCAAAUCUAUUUCUUUCAGAAUAUGGUUUCAAAUUUUGAUAACUCUGUCAUCAAAAACCUUGCUGAGUGAUUUUUAAAGUUCAGUUCUCAUCUCAAAACUUAGUAUAUUCCAACCCAUAAUGCCUUGGAGAAAAACAAUGGAAAUACAGAAUCUAGAUUUGUACAGAAUUCCCCACCUGCUAUUUGUUUCUCUAUUCCAAAAUGGAAUAUGAGGUAUUCAACCUGUCGCUGAUCCCCUGCAUGAUGGUGCCUGCCAUCCUCCCCACGACACCACAUACACUCAGCCAUAGACAAGCCAGAAGACAGAGAAGCUGACGACAGAACUAGACAAUGACUUUGAUGUUGUUUGAUGAGUUCAGACCCUCAGAUCCUGGGGCCAAGGCUGUAAGUGACGGAGAACAACUCACCCAAACGUGUCAGAUCAUCCAUCACUCAUAAGAGUCCAAGUCUUGGGAGAAUUUUCUUUUACCCUUAAGGUUGGGCCCCAUGAAGGCAAUGCCUGUGUCUGUUGUAUCACUACAAUAACUUCUAUCUUAGUAGAAACUAACAAUAGUCCUUCCAUAAAUGAAAUUACAGAAAGAAGAGAGGACUAAACAAUCUCCUUUUGUUGCUAUGGCCCUGUGACAGUGGAACAUGGAGAUGUCGUGUCUGUGUGCUGAAAUAAGGAGACAUCCCUGCUUGUGUUAAAUAAAGUCAGCCAUCAUCACUGAUUUAUGGAACCAC